Molecule: ribosomal RNA, 301 nt
Filed under: uncultured bacterium
Lineage: Bacteria
Description: partial 16S ribosomal RNA
Rfam family: Bacterial small subunit ribosomal RNA
Source: RNAcentral
CAGUCGCCACGGUAAUACGUAGGGUGCAAGCGUUAAUCGGAAUUACUGGGCGUAAAGCGUGCGCAGGCGGUUAUAUAAGUCAGAUGUGGAAUCCCCGGGCUCAACCUGGGAACUGCAUUUGAGACUGUAUGGCUAGAGUGUGUCAGAAGGGGGGUAGAAUUCCACGUGUAGCAGUGAAAUGCGUAGAUAUGUGGAGGAAUGCCGAUGGCGAAGGCAGCCCCCUGGGAUAACACUGACGCUCAUGCACGAAAGCGUGGGGAGCAAACAGGAUUAGAUACCCCAGUAGUCCCUGUCUCUUAUU